This 242-nucleotide ribosomal RNA is filed under the name Vibrio sp. a3p8. Its description in RNAcentral is "partial 16S ribosomal RNA". It matches the Rfam family "Bacterial small subunit ribosomal RNA", at positions 829 to 1070 of the family's 1533-position model. The record is from RNAcentral. RNAcentral also lists the same sequence under 1 other name. Lineage: Bacteria; Pseudomonadati; Pseudomonadota; Gammaproteobacteria; Vibrionales; Vibrionaceae.
GCCUUGAGCCGUGGCUUUCGGAGCUAACGCGUUAAGUAGACCGCCUGGGGAGUACGGUCGCAAGAUUAAAACUCAAAUGAAUUGACGGGGGCCCGCACAAGCGGUGGAGCAUGUGGUUUAAUUCGAUGCAACGCGAAGAACCUUACCUACUCUUGACAUCCAGAGAACUUUCCAGAGAUGGAUUGGUGCCUUCGGGAACUCUGAGACAGGUGCUGCAUGGCUGUCGUCAGCUCGUGUCGUGA